Molecule: long non-coding RNA, 756 nt
Filed under: Oncorhynchus mykiss (rainbow trout)
Lineage: Eukaryota; Metazoa; Chordata; Actinopteri; Salmoniformes; Salmonidae
Description: lncRNA (ENSOMYG00000001167.2)
Source: RNAcentral
AUGGGGGAGAGUGUGGAUGUUUGUGCAUUGAGGGCCAGGUUCCAUGCCAAGGCUGACAUGGCAGGUAGUCGAGACAGCACUUCUCCAAAACCUCCACUGCGAGGAUUUGGGAGAGGAGGCCCGAGGUUGGCAGACGUCAGUGUUACAGCAAACGGAGGGGUCCGAAAUAAACUCAUGCUUAUGGUUCCCACACCACCACUUCCUGGAUCAAGCUACUCCCCGGACCUUCAGAGGCUACCACCACAACAUGUAAGGGCUGAACUGGAGGGCAUGUCCACCAGCCCCGAGCCUCAUAGUGUCUUCCACCACCUUCCACCAUCACACCGACCCCACAGAGCCGCCAAGGAGCUACCCCUACCAGCAUCCCCACCGACAAACAUAGACCAACAAGGCAGGGUGAGAGUCACUGGGGAGCUUCUGCAGAACAUGAUGCUGAAGCAUAAGGGAGUACACCCUGGCCCUACCAAGCCGACGCCCCCCUCCCUGCCCAGCCAGAGAACUCUUACAGGGGUGACCCCCCUGAGAAGGGCCCUGCCCCCUGAGGCUCCCAGCCCUAUAAAACCCAGACGGCCCCCUCACAUCAACCUGCAGGCCCAUCAGAGAAGCACCAGAGCACUACACCUCGCAGGGCAACCAGGGUUAAGGAAGACUGACGGUGGCAGUAGUCAGUCUCUCCCAGGGCUAGUCAGUCUCUCUGGCCCCCCAAGACUUCCAACCAAGCCCAGCAGCCUUCCACGGCAGUGUACCCCAGUGUGA